CGACUAAGCGUACACGGUGGAUGCCCUGGCAGUCAGAGGCGAUGAAGGACGUGCUAAUCUGCGAAAAGCGUCGGUAAGGUGAUAUGAACCGUUACAGCCGGCGAUGUCCGAAUGGGGAAACCCAGUGUGAUUCGUCACACUAUCGUUAACUGAAUACAUAGGUUAACGAGGCGAACCGGGGGAACUGAAACAUCUAAGUACCCCGAGGAAAAGAAAUCAACCGAGAUUCCCCCAGUAGCGGCGAGCGAACGGGGAGCAGCCCAG
RNAcentral lists this ribosomal RNA (264 nucleotides) under Klebsiella aerogenes. RNAcentral's name for it is "partial 23S ribosomal RNA". It matches the Rfam family "Bacterial large subunit ribosomal RNA", at positions 1 to 272 of the family's 2925-position model. The record is from RNAcentral. Lineage: Bacteria; Pseudomonadati; Pseudomonadota; Gammaproteobacteria; Enterobacterales; Enterobacteriaceae. RNAcentral also lists the same sequence under 1 other name.